GGGGAUGUCAUGGUUUCGACAGGUAUUGUUCGAGCUAAUGACGCGUCAGGAAGGCAGCGACUUCCUAAAAACGCUACAGUUAAAUAUAACUGCAAACAAUCAAAACAAUAAUUUCGCUUUAGCAGCCUAAAAACCUGCAGCGAAGAUCACCCUGGUAUCGCCCAUGUACUCAGAUCGUGGUCUCAAAUUUAGUGGGAUACGUUUUAACUUUCCGUCUGUAAGUUAAGAAAGAGAUUAUCAGACUCGCGAUAGCGGAUGCCUGUUUGUCGGCUAUGCAGUAGCUAAAUCUUAAAUGGAUAAACUAUUGACGUAGACUCGUUGGUGGCGAGAUAUUUGGACAGGAGUUCGACUCUCCUCAUCUCCACUU
Non-coding RNA from Globicatella sp. HMSC072A10, 367 nucleotides. Lineage: Bacteria; Bacillati; Bacillota; Bacilli; Lactobacillales; Aerococcaceae. The record is from Rfam.